GACGAACGCUGGCGGCGUGCCUAAUACAUGCAAGUCGAGCGAAGUUUUUCUGGUGCUUGCACUAGAAAAACUUAGCGGCGAACGGGUGAGUAACACGUAAAGAACCUGCCUCAUAGACUGGGACAACUAUUGGAAACGAUAGCUAAUACCGGAUAACAGUAUUUCUCGCAUGAGAGAUAUUUAAAAGUUGGUUAUGCUAACACUAUGAGAUGGCUUUGCGGUGCAUUAGCUAGUUGGUGGGGUAAAGGCCCACCAAGGCGACGAUGCAUAGCCGACCUGAGAGGGUGAUCGGCCACACUGGGACUGAGACACGGCCCAGACUCCUACGGGAGGCAGCAGUAGGGAAUCUUCCGCAAUGGGCGAAAGCCUGACGGAGCAAUGCCGCGUGAGUGAAGAAGGAUUUCGGUUCGUAAAGCUCUGUUGUUAGGGAAGAAUGGAUAUGUAGUAACUAUACAUGUAAGAGACGGUACCUAACCAGAAAGCCACGGCUAACUACGUG
RNAcentral lists this ribosomal RNA (499 nucleotides) under uncultured bacterium. RNAcentral's name for it is "partial 16S ribosomal RNA". It matches the Rfam family "Bacterial small subunit ribosomal RNA", at positions 28 to 507 of the family's 1533-position model. The record is from RNAcentral.